UUGUGUGGAUAAGAAGAUACCCUAGGGUCACAGCCACUCAGGGUCCCGGGAGUCAUUCUUUGGUCAGGAACACCCGAUGUUGGGAACCCUCCUAACGCCCCACCCCUGCAGAGUCCCUCCCCAAUCUGUGGUAAUGAUUUCUUUUCUUUCUUUUUUUUUUUUUCCUUUCUUUUUCUUUUCCUUUUUUUUUUUUUUUCAGAUGGAGUCUCGCUCUGUUGCCCAGGCUGGAGUGCAGAGGCACAAUCUCGGCUCACUGCAACCUCCACCUCGCAGGUUUAAGUGAUUCUCAUGCCUCAGCCUCCGGAGUAGCUAGGACCACAGGCACCCACCACCAUGCCUACUUUUUGUAUUUUUAGUAGAGACUAAUUUUUGUAUUUUUAGUAGAGAUGGGGUUUCACCAUGUUGGCUAGGCUGGUCUCGAACUCCUGAUCUCAAGUGAUCUGCCACCUUGGCCUCCCAAGUGUUGGGAUUACAGGCGUGAGCCACCGUGCCUGGCCAUGUUUUUUUAUUUUGCACUCAUUGCACCUGAGUAAGAAUCA
Molecule: long non-coding RNA, 539 nt
Filed under: Pan troglodytes (chimpanzee)
Lineage: Eukaryota; Metazoa; Chordata; Mammalia; Primates; Hominidae
Description: long non-coding RNA NONPTRT008521
Source: RNAcentral